Molecule: ribosomal RNA, 396 nt
Filed under: Staphylococcus chromogenes
Lineage: Bacteria; Bacillati; Bacillota; Bacilli; Caryophanales; Staphylococcaceae
Description: bacterial SSU rRNA
Rfam family: Bacterial small subunit ribosomal RNA
Source: RNAcentral
UUUAUGGAGAGUUUGAUCCUGGCUCAGGAUGAACGCUGGCGGCGUGCCUAAUACAUGCAAGUCGAGCGAACUGACGAGGAGCUUGCUCCUUUGACGUUAGCGGCGGACGGGUGAGUAACACGUGGGUAACCUACCUAUAAGACUGGAAUAACUCCGGGAAACCGGGGCUAAUGCCGGAUAACAUAUCGAACCGCAUGGUUCGAUAGUGAAAGACGGUCUUGCUGUCACUUAUAGAUGGACCCGCGCCGUAUUAGCUAGUUGGUGAGGUAACGGCUCACCAAGGCAACGAUACGUAGCCGACCUGAGAGGGUGAUCGGCCACACUGGAACUGAGACACGGUCCAGACUCCUACGGGAGGCAGCAGUAGGGAAUCUUCCGCAAUGGGCGAAAGCCUGA